CAGGCGUGUAAUUUCUUUGUUUUUAAUGCUCAUUAGAUUCAAUGAAAUGUGAGUAUUGAGGAAAUGCAGAGGUUGGAACUCAGGAGUUUUCUAAAACUUUUAGAACACACUCCCCUAUUUAUUCAAGUGUUGUUUUGUUCUAAUUUGCAGAGUUGUGCACACAGCCCAUAGUUUCUGAAUAGGUCACCCAGUGUCAGGGUUCUUUUCCUCCCAAAUGAAUUGUGUUUUUAACAGGAACCAUUUUUCCAUUUGCACAAAGCUCCAUUCCUGGGGCCAUUUGUGCCUGAGAGGUUCUAGAAAGAAAUUCUGCUCAGCGCCUCCACUUCUGGUGAACAAUCCUAAGCAAGACUACUUCCCUAGGCACCUUCAGUUUCUGAUGAUACAUCAGGACAGCUGGACCUCUUCCCAUGUGCAGUCUUAGGUUUGAAAGGCGUUUCAUAUGAUCACAUCAGCUGAUUUCCCCCCUGUAUCCUGACUUCCCCACACACACUGAAAGGUACCCCUAUUCAUGUAUAUAGGCAUCUUGUUUUCCCCACUGGAUAUCCUAGAAGCUUAUAAAACUUAUAUCCUGUGGGAAGCUCAUUGCUUAUUAUUACAGAUUUUUCAUUACAAGAUUUUCUUUUUAGUGCAGUAUUUUUUUUAUUAUAACACUGAACAAUUGAAUUAAAAUAUUAUGGAAUUAAAAUAUUAAGAAUUUGGGGCUGGGGUUGUGGCUCAGCGGUAGAGUGCUCGCCUAGCACAUGCUAACCCUGGGUUCGAUCCUCAGCACCACAUAAAAAUAAAUAUUGUGUCCAACUAAAAAAUAAAUAGUUUUAAAAAUAUAUUAAGGAUUUCUAAAUUAUUUGUUCUUUUUAGAGAUACACAGCAGUAGAGUGUAGUCGGCAUAUUAUACACACACGGAGUCUAACAUCCCAUUCUUGUGGUUGAAUGUGAUGUGGAGUUUUACUGGUCGUGUAUUCACAUAGGAUCAUAGGAAAGUGAUGUCCGAUUCAUUCUGCCGUCCUUCCUGUUCCAGUCUCCUCUCCCUUCCUUUCCUUCUCCUUUGUCUAAUCCAAAGGACUUUAUUCUUCUCCUCCCCACCCCCCCUUGUUGUGGGUUAGCAUCCUCA
This 1108-nucleotide long non-coding RNA is filed under the name Marmota monax (woodchuck). The record is from RNAcentral. Lineage: Eukaryota; Metazoa; Chordata; Mammalia; Rodentia; Sciuridae.